This 379-nucleotide ribosomal RNA is filed under the name uncultured bacterium. RNAcentral's name for it is "bacterial SSU rRNA". It matches the Rfam family "Bacterial small subunit ribosomal RNA", at positions 28 to 408 of the family's 1533-position model. The record is from RNAcentral.
GACGAACGCUGGCGGCGUGCUUAACACAUGCAAGUCGAGCGGUAAGGCCCUUUCGGGGGGUACACGAGCGGCGAACGGGUGAGUAACACGUGGGUGACCUGCCCUCAGCUCUGGGAUAAGCCUGGGAAACCGGGUCUAAUACCGGAUAUGACUCCAUGACGCAUGUUGUGGGGUGGAAAGCCUUGUGCGGCUGAGGAUGGGCCCGCGGCCUAUCAGCUUGUUGGUGGGGGAUGGCCUACCAAGGCGACGACGGGUAGCCGGCCUGAGAGGGCGACCGGCCACACUGGGACUGAGACACGGCCCAGACUCCUACGGGAGGCAGCAGUGGGGAAUCUUGCGCAAUGGGCGAAAGCCUGACGCAGCGACGCCGCGUGAGGGA